RNAcentral lists this ribosomal RNA (497 nucleotides) under uncultured bacterium. Its description in RNAcentral is "partial 16S ribosomal RNA". It matches the Rfam family "Bacterial small subunit ribosomal RNA", at positions 28 to 507 of the family's 1533-position model. The record is from RNAcentral.
GACGAACGCUGGCGGCGUGCCUAAUACAUGCAAGUUGAGCGCUGAAGGUUGGUACUUGUACCAACUGGAUGAGCAGCGAACGGGUGAGUAACGCGUGGGGAAUCUGCCUUUGAGCGGGGGACAACAUUUGGAAACGAAUGCUAAUACCGCAUAAAAACUUUAAACACAAGUUUUAAGUUUGAAAGAUGCAAUUGCAUCACUCAAAGAUGAUCCCGCGUUGUAUUAGCUAGUUGGUGAGGUAAAGGCUCACCAAGGCGAUGAUACAUAGCCGACCUGAGAGGGUGAUCGGCCACAUUGGGACUGAGACACGGCCCAAACUCCUACGGGAGGCAGCAGUAGGGAAUCUUCGGCAAUGGACGAAAGUCUGACCGAGCAACGCCGCGUGAGUGAAGAAGGGUUUCGGAUCGUAAAACUCUGUUGGUAGAGAAGAACGUUGGUGAGAGUGGAAAGCUCAUCAAGUGACGGUAACUACCCAGAAAGCGACGGCUAACUACGUG